AAUCGAAGCAGUGAACUUAAGCCCCAGUAAACGGCGGCCGUAACUAUAACGGUCCUAAGGUAGCGAAAUUCCUUGUCGGGUAAGUUCCGACCCGCACGAAAGGCGUAACGAUUUGGGCACUGUCUCAACAACAGACUCGGUGAAAUUGUAAUUCCGGUGAAGAUGCCGGAUACCUGCGACAGGACGGAAAGACCCCAUGGAGCUUUACUGUAGCUUGACAUUGGGUCUUGGUACUACAUGUACAGGAUAGGUGGGAGGCUUUGAAACCAGGACGCCAGUUUUGGCGGAGCCAUCCUUGGGAUACCACCCUUGUAGUACUGGGACUCUAACCAUAGGCCAUGAAUCUGGUCUUGGGACACUGUCAGGUGGGCAGUUUGACUGGGGCGGUCGCCUCCCAAAAGGUAACGGAGGCGCUCAAAGGUUCUCUCAGUACGGUCGGAAAUCGUACGUAGAGUGUAAAGGCAAAAGAGAGCUUGAUUGCAAGACAUACAGGUCGAGCAAGGAUGAAAAUCGGACUUAGUGAUCCGGUGGUUCUGCGUGGAAGGGCCAUCGCUCAACGGAUAAAAGCUACCCUGGGGAUAACAGGCUUAUCUCCCCCAAGAGUCCACAUCGACGGGGAGGUUUGGCACCUCGAUGUCGGCUCAUCACAUCCUGGGGCUGUAGUAGGUCCCAAGGGUUGGGCUGUUCGCCCAUUAAAGUGGUACGCGAGCUGGGUUCAGAACGUCGUGAGACAGUUCGGUCCCUAUCCGUCGCAGGCGUAGGAAAUUUGAGAAGACCUGUCCUUAGUACGGGAGGACCGGGAUGGACGUACCUCUGGUGUACCAGUUGUCCUGCCAAGGGCAUGGCUGGGUAGCUAUGUACGGAAUGGAUAAGCGCUGAAAGCAUCUAAGCGCGAAGUCAACUUCAAGAUAAGAUUUCCCACCGCAAGGGUAAGACCCCAGAAAGACUAUCUGGUUGAUAGGUCGAAGGUGUAAGUGCAGCAAUGUAUUUAGCUUAUCGAUACUAAUAGGUCGAGGACUUGACCAAU
This 1027-nucleotide ribosomal RNA is filed under the name Clostridioides difficile. RNAcentral describes it as "bacterial LSU rRNA". It matches the Rfam family "Bacterial large subunit ribosomal RNA", at positions 1897 to 2925 of the family's 2925-position model. The record is from RNAcentral. Lineage: Bacteria; Bacillati; Bacillota; Clostridia; Peptostreptococcales; Peptostreptococcaceae.